ACAGCUGAGCCUGCUGCGGUUGCUGCUGACUUCAAAGGCACUGCUUCCCUUGGAUCCACAUCAAGGACUGGAAUGAGAAAAGGGUCCCCUGACCUUCUUAUAAUAAGAAAACUGAGGCGCUAUGAUGGUAACCAACUUUCCCAAUGUCACAGAGGUAGUAAGAACCUGAACCAGAGCCUCAGGAAUUCCAAUUUCUUAACCCAGCUCAGGAGUUUGACUUGGAUGUUCAUGUGAUGGAAUGGUGGAGGACAGAAGAAAAUUGUAAAUCACAAGUAUUUCCCAGUUGAUAACUUCUCAAACCCAAGAAUGGCUCAGGUUGGCUCCCGGCACUUGGCAUGUCAUGGUUCUAUCAUGCUAAUUCCAUAUGCCGGAGCUCAUUGAAGUUGUGGCUGGCUAUCUGGAAGGGGAGAAAAAUCCCCCAGACCCUGUGCUGGCUGGAAGUGUUUGGCAUUUGGGGCGAGUGUGGGUGUGAAAAGCAGCUUGUUGUAAUGCUAUAGGAUGUCUGGACCACACUAAGGAGAGGCCCUGGCAACACUGCUAAGAAAUGGAACAUCACUCGUCAAGAAGAGACCCCAUUGCAGGGAAACUCUGAUGGCUGAAGUGCUCAUAUGCAGGUGGGGCUUAGCCAGGAGAACCAUGAGAAUUCCCAGAUGGUCAGUGGGAAGGAUGCUAAGGUGACCACCAUGAUUUUCACUUCCCAGCUCAUGGGACAAUGUCCUCCAGGUCCUAUGACCUGAGGGUUGAAAACCCAGAUAACUUUGAAUUACUUUCUUAUUGCUGUUGUAAAAGUUACCACUAAUGGAAUGGCUUAAAGCAAGGAAAAUUUAUCUUAUAAUUCUGGAGGCCAAAAGUCUGACAUGGGUCUCACUGGGCUAAAAUUAAGACAUCUGGAAGGCGAUGUUCCUUUCUAGAGGCUCUAGAGGAACAUCCAUUUGCUUGCCUUUUCCAGCUUCUAGAGGUGGCCCUCAGUCCUCGGCUUAUGGCCCCUUCCAUCUCCAAAGCUGAUAAUGGCCCAUUGAGUCUUUCUUACAUCGCUUUACUGACAUUGAGUUUUCUGCCUCUCUCUUCCACAUACUGGGACCCUUGUGAUUAUGCUUGGCCAAGGACAAGCUUUCUAUCCCAAAGCCAACUGAUUAGCACCUUUUUUGCUUCCUUAAUUCUCCCUCACCAUGUAACAUAUGCACAGGUUCAAAGGAUCAGGACUUGGACGUCUUUGGGAGGCCAUUACUCUGCCUAUCACAGGCCACAGAUGGAAAGGGUGGAAACCCCUAUCACGAACAUUCUUGGCCCAGUUGAGGGCCUGCUAAGCAGCUGGUGGUCUCUGCCACAUGCUGGAGAGAAAUCGUUGGAGACCUGCCUCAGAGAAAACACUGGAAAUCACAUAAAUGGUUUUUAAAGAACUACAGCUACGUCCAUCUUCUUGAGUCAAAAAACUCAUUUCUGCUCCCUGUCAGAACCUAAAAAAGAACCAUCCUGUGGGGUCAAAUCAUUGACACAGGCAGCCUGGAAUCCUUCUGAACAGCGACUACAAGGGACAGUUUGUAGGAGAACAGCUUCAAAAGGCACUUCGAUAAUUGUUUGAGGCAUGAAAAAGGCAGGUUUCAGCUUUCCUAACUGGAAUGGAGUCUCUUCAAUUCUGCCCAAGAGAUUUGGCCUGAAAAGAUUGUGCCUUCAACCUCAUCCUGGAAAUUCAGGUAGCAUUUUUCGGUUUUCUCUCUCAGGAGACAGAAGCUGACACCCCACAUGACUCCCAUCUUGUCUGUAAUCAGCAACCAGGGCUUUGACCUGCACUGUCCUCCUUUCCAGCAGCAGAAAGGGGUCAAACUGAGCCAGGUCUAGUAAGAGCUAUCUCAGAGAACCAGAACACGGAUUUGCUUUUGUUCUCUCAGGACAGCAAACCCAAGGGAGGGCAGACUCAGGCUCACAUCCCACUCACACGGCCCUGAGUGUGGACUGGGAGCAAGACGCUGCUUCAAAUUUCAGCCUGCCAGCUGUGUGUCCACAGGCAGCUAACAAACAUCUCUCAUCCAGCCACAGCCUCACCCAGAGAAGAGUAACCGACCCAACCUUAUAGCGUUGCUGUGAAGUCAGUUAACAUAGGGCUGAAGUUUGCUGUGAAGUCACAGCAACCCUAUGUUAUGGUUAACUUCAUUUAACAUAGGGUUAAUGUAGGUUUAAUAUGAGGGGCUAACAAUUACAUAUAAAUGUUAGCUACUGUAAUUGUCAGAUGCAUGGCCACUGGUGCCAAAGGAACCACUCUGAAAAUUCUGGAGGUUUUCAAGACUCUGGGGAUUCAGAAAUGGAGGAAGAAAAGAAGCUGCUGCAGGAACAGUGCAGGGAAGCUAGAAGGGAACAGGGUGGCAGCCCCAGCUCAAAAGGUCUUCCCUCUCAAGGGCACCACCUGAAACGUAUAAGGUUGCCUGAAAUUCCACAGAUUAGACAUUUAGUUUUGCUUCUUUACAACAAUAUAUCUCAAAGAGAACUGGCUGGUUAAACAUUAUUCAUACAUCUGUGUGAACUGGUUUAUUUGCUCUCUUCCUAAUACCUACACACUUAGAAACUCCAGGGAGCAAAGAGCUUGGGUCUGAGUUAGGGACUAGGAAAGGAACAGAAAGUAAUAACUUAGAGUCAUGAAGCACUGUCCAAGACAUGGCCAGCUGUUCAGACUCUGAGAGCCCCAGUUCAAUUCACUGGCUGGCCUGCAGACAGCCUGCCUGGCUCAUGAGAAGGGAGGAGUGGGGAGUCAGGACCUGGAGGUCCUGAGGUGCUUUUCUGAUGUUGGUACUUUCACGUUGCCCACUCAUAAAAUACCCUUUGUAAAUGGCUUCUGGGACUCCCUCCUCUCUGGGAGUGCCUCCUUCGUGAGCUCUGCAUAUGGGUGGCCCAGAGAGCAGGCCCCAGCUGUUGCCUCUCCUCAGACAUUCCAUCCCUAUGACCUCAUCCAGGUGCGGGCUUGAGUCACCACUCCACUACAGACUCUCUUGAUUUGGAUAUUCAGUUGCCUACUUGACAUCUCCCUUUCAAGUACCUCAAACAAAACGCUCCAUGUGCCCUUACCCCUACCCCCUGCCACCCAAAACAAUCCAAACAAAAACUCCAUCAGCCUGGUCUCCAUGGACAUGUUCUUGAUGCAGUCAACCUUUCAGGACUAUUGACGUUUCUCUUUGUACCUUGUACUUUUCUUUCACAGCCCUUAGGACAAUGUAUAAUCACUUACUUAUUUUCAUAUUGACUUGUGUAAUACCUGUUUCCCAAUAGACUGUAAAAUUCAUGAGAAUGAGACCAGGUGGUUUGUCUCCUGUUCUUCCCCACACCCUAACUGGCACACAGUAGGUCCUCACUAUGUAUUUGUUGAAUGGAUAGUAUUAAAGUGAAGAUGGGUCCUAGGGUGAGGAAGAGUUUCUGGGCACAAAGAAAGGCCAUGAAACCUGGCAAAAAAUACAUAUGAGCUCAUAUCUUGUUUUCCUGAGGAGCUAUUUGGUUUCUUCCUCCUCCUAUUUGAUGAAGUUAUAUGUUUAAUUAAAGCCCUGAACAGUUAGAACAAAUGUAUAGGAAAUGAUCACAUGAUCAUGAACUUAGCAAACAGCUACAAGCUUAACUGUCUAAUAUGGGGAGUGCCUAAAUGAUAUGUAUCAAUAUGGUUGACUCUCAGUUAUCCAUUCCAGUGGAUAAUCUAAUAGCCAGUAAUCUAAUAGUUCAUAAUUUACUUGCCUAUAAUCCCAUAAGUUUUACAUGUGGCUUUGGAUUAUGUUUUGGAAUUUGCACCAGGGUAUGGGGGCUCUGAUGGUUUAGGAAUUCACAGUACUUUGAGCAUAUAUGUCCUAUGUCACUACCCCAGUUGCCCAUUAAGGAUUCCUCUGGGUUCCAACUGCAUGUGGAAAAAAUACUGCAUUGUGCUUAGGAGGAAAGUGCAUUGGUCUUUGUUUGUUUGUUUGUUUGUUUUGUUUUGGCUGUAAAAAUUGGGGUCCAAACCCCAGCUCUUGCAUUUACUAACUAGCUCUGUUUUCACACUACUUGUCCCCGUCUAAACCACUCCCUCAGGCAGGUGCAAAACAAGGCGAAAGCAGAGUUAAGCUCCUUAUGAACUUUCUGUUUUACAUCUAGGCAAAGAAACGUUCUCUCUUCUCCUUUUUUUCUCUUUUUCUUUCUGCCUUAGAAGACCUUCUCUUCCAGCUCAGUGGGAUGAAGUCAACAAGGUCUUUGCUUUACAAAAUCAUGCCUGAUUGGGAAAGAUCCUGAAAAUGUCUAGACAAAUCUGAAAGAAAAAUGCUGUCCUGGGCAAUCUAAUACAGAAAACUGACUCUGGGCUUUCCCUGGGCUCCACUGGUCCCACCAAUGGUGCAAAUGACGGUGACUUUCUCCACGUUCUACAUACAUCUGGGCAUUUGCUCAUGCUGUCUUGGGUCAAAGUCUCAAGUUGGAAAAUGGAUUCAUCCUGAGAUCCAAGGCAGAACCAGUCGUGUUGUCAGUGGGUAGCUGAGACCCCAAAAUUCCCACCUCUUUUCCUGUCAUGAAGUUUCUAUCUCGAGAGAAAACAGCUGUCCAUUCUUAGGCCAACUGGGACUGAAGCCAGCUGUUCCUUCCAGAUGCCAAGAGUCAGAUGCACGCCCACUCUUUUCUCCUAUUCCCUAAGGCUGAAGUCUCAAACUUUAUUGAAUUUAUUAAUAACCUCAGGGACUUGCUAAAAAGCAUUUCCCCAGGCUCUACCUCCAGAGAAUCUGAUUCAGUUAAUUCAGGUUGGCCAGGAAAUCUGCAUGUUAAAUAACAACCCUCCUGCCCCACCUCAUUUCUGAUCUCUAGGAAAUUCCUAUGUAAUUGGUCUGAGAAUCAUACUUUGAGUGACAAUAGCCACAGUGGAGGCACUGGUGUGCCGGUAAAUGUUUAACAACUGGCUCUGGAGGUGGAAAAGCCUGGUUUGUAGCUUGCUGAUUUCUGUGGUAUAAAUAUUCCCACCUUGGUCAACUCAAGCUACAAAUAUGACAUCAUGAUUGUGAAGUUGGGAAAAGGUUUGUGCAAUCAGUUCUGAUAAGCCCAUAGUAACUGAUUUCAGCAUGCCCACUGGGUGGAAGUGGCCGGAUGCCUCCAAAUGCUGGUUCCUAGGCUCUGGCAUAGAAGGGCCACUGUUUGGUCCAGAAUGUCACAUCCCCUAAUUUUUUUUCCCUAAAUCCUUCGUUUUUUGAAUGGUUUGUUUUGGUUACUGGCUCUCGGAGACCUUGAGGGGUUCCAAGCCAGAGAACAAAGAAGGGGAAGAGAAGGAGCUCCAAGAAAGAAAAUGCAAUUAGUGUAGGAUGUUGGCCUCAGCUACGCUGCUAACCUUGUUCAACCCAGCUUUCAGCAGGGAAGGGGUUUCAAACACCUGUCUCUGCCUUCAUUUGAUAAGCUUUCUGGUCAAGUCACAUUAACCUGAUCCUGCUGACCUGGAGAAGGAUGAAAAGGCUGAGUGUCGGGGACCUGAGGGGAUGAAAGUGGAUGGGGGAGGCCUGGGGGGGGGGCUCAUAUGACCUGGGGUCACCAUCGGCUUAAGGCUUCCCCUUUGUCUCCCUGCUCUGGCCCCAUGUUUGAAGGUUCUGGUGAUUUCCUCCCGCCCCCCGACUAGGCGAACAGAUGUGGAAAGAUCUCCAGUUCCCAGGGCUCAGGACACAACUGCCUGUUGUUUCCCGCCUGCAGACCGGGGCCUGCAGUCACAGGCAGAACAGCUACGCAAUCACUUGCCAAAGAGCUGAGCCCAGUCAGGUGUGGGGUGCAAGCCUACUCUGCCUUUUGGGAGUGAGAGGAUGUGUAAGCCUAGCUGAACAAGAAUGGAAAACAACCAUGUUCCCGCCCUGUUGUGCUCUAAGUUCACUGUGUAGGAAUUCAGAGGCACUUUAGCAGAGGCAAUGACUUGAGCUCUUCCACGGCAAUACAAUGCUCACAGGUGCCAUGACCAUUUGAACAAACGCUGCCUUCUGGGCCAGCUGCUUCUCUUGUCCCACACUGCAGGUACUGCCAACGUGAGAACUUUGCCCACUUCUAGACUGGAGUUGAGGGCACCCUGCUACUCUAAAAAGGAUGUUUUCCUCAGCCCACUGAGCUUUCAGGGCUCACUAGAUCAAGGCGGUAGAAGAGUUACAAAGGAAGGGGUGCAAGUGUUAGCUUCCUUAUGUACCUUAUUUAUUCAACACUGAUAGUUUCAGAAAUGGCUUAGAGCCUAGCUUCCUCACCAAUAUCCAUAUACCUUUGACAAGUGGGACAAAUAAAAGCAUAAAAAUAUCUCCCUUAAAUAAAACGCCUUUCUCAUAUCUAGUCCAUCUACAAGAAUAAGCUGAUACCUAAUGAUAUGUUUUCUAGUUUAUGCAAUAAAUGGUGGUGAUUACAAUUUUGCACAAAGACCUGGUACAUAUACGUCUUAGCAUGUAGCACAUUUACCUGUAAAUGCUACAAGUAGCAGAAUGACAGCCAUCUCCCUAAAGCACUGAUUCUCCAAGUGAGGUCUGCAGUCCCCUGGGAUCCCUGAGACCCUAUCAGGGUGUCUGCAAGCUCAAAAUUAUUUUCAUAAUUUUGAUAAUAUUUCAUAAUAAUACCAAGAUGUUAUUUGCCUUCUUCACUGUGUUGACAUCUGGGUAAAAUUGCUGGUGCUAGACUAUGCUGGCAGUCACGGCAUUCUUCACUGCUACAAACUUACAGGGGGAAUAAAUGCCAGUUUCACCAAAGAAUGUCCUAAAUUAGACAGUAAAAAUUAUUAAUUUUAUAAAACCUUGCCCAAAAGGUACUUUUUCUCUCCUCCCCUCCUCUCCCCUCUCUGCCUCCCUUCCCCUUCCCCUUCCCUUUCCUUUCCUUCCCUUCCCUUCCCUUUCUUUUCUUUGUGUGAUGACUUGGAAACAAAGUAUCAAGCAUUUCUGGUGCAUCCUGAAGUAUGAUGGUCAUCUGGAGGAAAAGCACUUGUGUGAGUGUCCUGAGUUGUGAUCUGCACUAGUCACUUUCAUGGAACACAAUGUUUACUCAAAAGGACCAAAUAACCAUAGUUAUUCAGAUUUGGUUAUUUGACAGGCAUUUUCUCAAAAAUGAACAAACUGAGCUCAUCACUUCAAGAAAGACAAUAAUUAACAGUAUUUUCUGCCAAAAUAGAAGUAUAAAGCAAAAAUUAGAAUUUUUAGAAACCUGUAUCUGCCAUAGUGAACUUAACACCUUCCCAACACUUACAGAGGUUUUUGAUGAGAUCAGUGAUAUUAACAAAUAAGAACUUUUAGUUUUCAUCAAGAAAUAUAUCAAAUUUGAAAAAUCUGCAUGACUUAGUGAAGCAAUAUUUUCCAAAUGACCCAUGCAUAUUAUUUCAAAAUCAUGCAUGAGCAAAAGAUCUAUUCAGAGUACAAGCCAGAUAACUGAAUUUUAACAUAACUGAGCACAAAAAGUUCAUUGAUAUAGUUUCAGAUUCCACAUUGCAACUAACCUUAGUAAUCUACUAUUGGUUGAGUUUUGGUAUAAUGUCAAAGAAGAAUAUUCACAAUUAUCUGAAAAGACUAUUAAAAUAUUCCUCCCUUUUCCAACAAAAUAACUACGUGAGGCUGGGUUUCCUUCGCAUACUUUAUCCAAAACAACAUUAUCACAGCUGAUUGAAUGCAGAAGCCGAUAUGAGAAUCCAGCUGUCUUCUAUUAAGCCGGACAGUCAAGAGAUUUGCAAAAAUGUAAAACACUGUCACUCUUCUCACUUGGAUUUUUUAAAAAAGUUAUUUUUAUAAUAAAAUGUUAUUUUUAACGUUUAAAUGGAUUAAUGAAUAUAUGCAUUUUAAUAAAUUACUAAAUGUUAAUUUAUUCAUUAACAAUGAAUAAAUAUUAAAUGAACAAAUAUUAUUUUUGGUUUUAGUUUUUAAUAUGGUAAAUUAUUUAAUUAUCUAUUGCUGUAUAGCAAAGUAUCCUAAAACCUAGUGGCUUAAAACAACAAUAAUCACUUGAGUUGCCAGCCUAAAGAAAUGGGUCCAGCUUCCGGGCAGGGCGUGGUGGCUCACGCCCGUAAUCCUAGCACUUUGGGAGGCCGAGGUGGGCGGACCACAAGGUCAGGAGAUCGAGACCAUCCUGGCUAACAUGGUGAAACCCCGUCUCUACUAAAAAUACAAAAAAUUACCCGGGCAUGGUGGUGGGUGCCUGUGGUCCCAGCUACUCGGGAGGCUGAGGCAGGAGAAUGGCAUGAACCUGGGAGGCAGAGCUUGCAGUGAGCCGAGAUCAUGCCACUGCACUCCAGCACUCCAGCCUGGGCGACAGAGUGAGACUCUGUCUCAAAAAAAAAAAAAAAAAGAAAAGAAAAGAAAGAAAGAAAGAAAGAAAUUGGUUCACCUGGGUGGCUCAUACCUGUAAUCCCAUCACUUUGGGAGGCUGAGGUGAGAUGAUCAUUUGAGGCCAGGAGUUUAAAACAAGCCUGGGCAACAUAGCGAGACCCCAUCUCUAAAAGAAAAAAAAAAAAGCCAGGAAUGGUGGUGCACACCUGUAGUCCUAGCAACUUGAGAGACUGAGGCUGAAAGAUCACUUAAUCCCAGGAGGUUGAGGCUACAGUGAAUUGUGAUUGCACCACUGCACUCCAGCCUGGAUGACAGAGGGAGACCCUAUCUCUCUAAAAAAAAAAAAAAAAAAAAGAAGAAGAAGAAGAAAGGAAGAAAAGAAAUUAUUGGUCCAUAUGUCUGAAAUGUCUUUGCUGUCUAUCUUUGUCCCGUUGCUCAUAGUUAGACCAUCAUUUAGGCAACUUCUUGCUCACUUACCCUCCACAAGCUUGGACACAGGUCCUUCUAGCUCUGUUUCUUCUGAACUUGAGAUUACUGGAGACUCCCUUAUGAGUUUUAACACUCCCCAUAACCUUUGUAUGAUUUGUACAUAGAAAAUACCCCCAAAAUUAAAAAUAAAUUAUUAAACUAAAGGAAAGGUUAGUAAGAUUGCUGGACAUAAAAUUAAUAUUUGAAAAUAAAUUAUAUUCCAAUAAGAUACACAAAUGGCCAACAAGCACAUAAGAAAUAUCUUUAGUAUCACCUGCUCUCUGCAGCUCCCAGGCACACCUCCCCAGGAGCAGAGGUUUUCUGGGCUAGGUCAGGCCCUCCCAUUACCUGCUUUGUAGAAGACAGGGAAGAAAAUCACUCACUGUAUGUAAUUUUAUUUAAGAGAGUGCAAGAAUGUCGUGUUUGAGCCUUUCACUCUUUUUUCUUUGUAUUUCUUAUCGGAAAUGAAAGAAAACAGCCAGUGAGAUAGGAUCUCAGGUCUAGAAUUCCUAGCAGGUAAUUUGGGAGUUGAAAACAAAUCUCCCCUGAAAUGCAUUAAGCAGGUGAAGGGGAUUCCAGUUUCAACUCUGAAACCACACCUUAUCCUGGCCUGGCAAAUAACUUCCUUCCAGCCCCAGGCAAAUCCCAACUUCCACCCGCCAAAUGCCUGCAGUUAAUAAACGUUUAAGCAACAACAAAAACCCCAAGUGGAAAAUGGAAGACUGAUUCGAGGCUGAGAUACUAGAAGGGCUGCCUGGGAGCCCCUCUCUGAGAGCCGCGCCCACAGGAGGAACUUUUAGCCAGGGAAGCCGGGGCCUGGAGCUGGGGAACCCAAGGCAUGAUGUCUUUCAGAGCGUCAGAGCAGGGUAAAUAUCUGAUUUGAGUCAAAUGAUUAUUUUUCUUGAUCAGAUUUGUCCACUUGUUUCAUUGGAACUCCAUACCACUAGCCAUGGUCAAACCCUUCAAAAUGGCCAAAAUCUCCAGACUGCAUUAUUGGGCCACAGUAGGUCCUGCUUCCUGCUAAGUGCUGCAAGACUGGAGUUUCCAAGCUCUGGUCUAGAUAGGUCAGCUGAGGGUUGGUAAGGAAGUUCUCAUGGGUCCAGAGAGAACUAAGAAAAAAAGGAUCAUGUUAUGCUGUGGAAAUGUGCUCCGCGGUAAUUUUUAUUCCCAUUUUACAUAUCAGAAAACAGAGGCUCAGAGACGUUGAAUGACUUGCCACAUAGCUAGUCAGUAGCAGAGCGAGGAUGGAGAUUCACAUGAUCAAUCACAGUGACCACCGUUUGCUGAGCACCUGUAGUGAGACAGGCAAACACCUUGUGCUUUGUGUGUGUUAACUUGUUCAGUUCUCGUGGAUUGCUUCCUUUUUAAAGAAAUGAAACUGUUCAACAGAGCUUCCUGCCAUAAGGGAAAUCUUCUACAUCUCACGUCCAAUAGAUAGCCACAAGCCCCAUGUUGCUAUUCAGCCCUUGAAAUGUGGUAAGUGAAACUGAGGAACAAAAUUUUAAAAUUUUAUUUCACUUAAAUUGAUUUAAAUGUGAACAGCCACAUGUGGCUGGCAGCUCUGGGAGGUUCAGUAGCUUUUCCAAAAGCCAGCGAAGUGAUGAGGUGAGGGUUGUGUUGUGGGGCUGAUUGAGCCCCAAAUCCAUGUGUUUCCCCCUUUCUCUCUGCUCCCCUGUGAGGUGGCCUGCCUUUUCCAAAGUAAAAGACACUGGGAAGGAAACUGACCAGACAGUAUACAGUCAGCCAAAAAUAAAGCCAGACCCCAAAGGUGGGGUCUGUAUUUGAGUCUGCUUCUUCCGAAUGUGUCUGGAAGCCCCCAUGGGUGGCCAAACAGCCCAGCUGGGGGCUUCAGACCCUGCACCAGUAACUUCCCAGAGCCCACCAUGGCCCAUUUGGCUGGGGCUUAUAUGACUCACAGGUUCCAACCCUACAAUUUAAACUGCAGCAUUUCCUUUUUCUGGGCUUAACACUAAUUGGUAGAGGUAGUGAGCUCCCAGGCCCAGCCUCACCCUGUCGAAACAUGUAGCUCUCAACAGUUCCCACUGGAAGCACCACCCAUGAGGUGCAGCUACCAUUGCCAUGUGUCUGAAUGCCAGUGUUUAACCCAAGCUGGCCCAUUGUUGUUCCAUGAGCCUCUCUAUAGCCUCUGAAUGUUCAUCUUU
RNAcentral lists this long non-coding RNA (10879 nucleotides) under Homo sapiens (human). Its description in RNAcentral is "non-protein coding lnc-ZFP36L1-9:4". The record is from RNAcentral. Lineage: Eukaryota; Metazoa; Chordata; Mammalia; Primates; Hominidae.